UGGGGUCAAGCAGCCCCCCGAGGCUCCUUAAUGCGAGCCCUCUUCUGGAACAUCCGCGGCUUCGGCCAUGAUGGUCGUCGCCGCCAACUUGUGGAGUACAUGCGGGAUGAGCACAUCGACAUCGUUGCCGUUCAGGAGACCAUGCGUCGCGACUUCUCGUUCCCUGAGCUCGACCAUUUGAGCUCCCACCUCUUUGCGUGGCACUGGCUCCCUUCUAGUGGGAGCUCAGGCCACUCGGGUGGCAUCCUUUUAGGUGUGAAGGAUGCCACCUUCGAGGUGGGCAGC
Molecule: ribosomal RNA, 285 nt
Filed under: Triticum aestivum (bread wheat)
Lineage: Eukaryota; Viridiplantae; Streptophyta; Magnoliopsida; Poales; Poaceae
Description: partial small subunit ribosomal RNA
Source: RNAcentral